This 102-nucleotide ribosomal RNA is filed under the name Eoetvoesiella caeni. RNAcentral describes it as "Eoetvoesia caeni partial 16S ribosomal RNA". It matches the Rfam family "Bacterial small subunit ribosomal RNA", at positions 1 to 96 of the family's 1533-position model. Lineage: Bacteria; Pseudomonadati; Pseudomonadota; Betaproteobacteria; Burkholderiales; Alcaligenaceae. The record is from RNAcentral.
AGAUUAAACUGAAGAGUUUGAUCCUGGCUCAGAUUGAACGCUAGCGGGAUGCUUUACACAUGCAAGUCGAACGGCAGCACGGACUUCGGUCUGGUGGCGAGU